Cryptomeria japonica (Japanese cedar) is the source of this 1056-nucleotide long non-coding RNA. RefSeq lists it as uncharacterized. The transcript is spliced from 2 exons. The record is from RefSeq and is a predicted model, not a curated record. NCBI's taxonomy places the organism in Eukaryota, Viridiplantae, Streptophyta, Pinopsida, Cupressales, Cupressaceae.
CAAGCACCUUGAAGGUUAUAUGGAUGGCUUCCUAAAAUUAUCUUUCCUUUUGGUUUUGAGCCAAAUCUUCCAAAUUUUUCCCUCCCACGUUGAAAAGGUAACAAAUGUGAAAGGAGGGAAAUUAGGGGGAAAUUGAAGGACAAAAAAAUCAAAGUUCAUGAAGAUUUUACAUGCCUUCAGGGUUUUUCUUAAGUAUACCCAGUUUUAUAUUAUUUCUAAGAUUUCACGGCUAUGGAAGGUGGAGUUGCCCGCCUAAACAACUACAUGCAAGCCUAAGGUCAUCACUCUUUUACCAUUGAAUGCCCAUCAAAGAUUUCGAAUCUAAGAGAUCUAAAGAUCCAUGCAUGAAAAGAGAAAUCCCAAAGCUUCAUAUAGGAGCAAGCACAAGGAGUUCCAGCCAAUGACUUAAGAAGAGGUUUAAUCGGCCAUAGACUUCACCUACCAACACCGGCAGAUACAACAAAGCUUAUUCACACCGGCAUCCAGUUUACACGGGCAAUAGAUUGUACCGGCAUUCCAGGCUGACUUGGCAAUAGUAUUGUUUAUGCGAAAUAAAUUGUAAAGUAAAUUAUAAUUGUAUGGUCGACAUGUUGUAUUGUAAAGACUCAUAUAUUUAUGAGCUCUUGUAGGUCAUUUGAAAGGUAUGAAAGCAGUAAUAUGAGAUAAGAUAGGAUAUGAUAGCGAAUAGUUGUAUAUGCAUUUUGAUGUGUUUAUUUUAGAGCGAAUAAGAAGAAAAGCAGAGCAAAGACUAUUAUGUAUAAGAAGAAUCAUUUGACAGCAUACCGGCUAGGAUUUUUGGCAGAGGCAGAACCGGUAUCAAACAUAGCAUAAUAGUGAACUCAUCCAGCAUUUUGAUGCAAGUUGUAAGAGUUCAUUUUAUGUUUACUUCAGUGUGAUGUUGUAGUCAGUGUGACUCCAUUUUUGUUGUUGAGUAGUGAGCUCUUGGUAGUUGGCCUUCAUGCAUGUGCAGGCCCUUUUUUGUACUAUGUAAUAUUUAUUCAUAUGGCCAAUGAGUAAAUAUUGUGGGUCACAAAUCCCAUCGAGGUUUUUCCCUUA